This 320-nucleotide unclassified non-coding RNA is filed under the name uncultured Gymnoascus. Its description in RNAcentral is "sequence contains ITS1". The stretch from base 1 to 105 matches the Rfam family "5.8S ribosomal RNA", at positions 50 to 154 of the family's 154-position model. The record is from RNAcentral. Lineage: Eukaryota; Fungi; Ascomycota; Eurotiomycetes; Onygenales; Gymnoascaceae.
GAAAUGCGAUAAGUAAUGUGAAUUGCAGAAUUCCGUGAAUCAUCGAAUCUUUGAACGCACAUUGCGCCCCCUGGCAUUCCGGGGGGCAUGCCUGUCCGAGCGUCAUUGCGACCCCCUCAAGCGCGGCUUGUGUGAUGGGCCCCGGCGUCCCCGCGACCGCGGGGACGGGCCCGAAAGGCAGUGGCGGCGUCGCGGUGAUCCGAUCGCCCGUAGCGUAUGGGAACCUGACGCUGGCGGCGCGGACCGACGCCCGCCUUCUCUUCUUGAUCGAAUUUUCGAAGGUUGACCUCGGAUCAGGUAGGGAUACCCGCUGAACUUAA